AAGUAUACCUCGACUAAACUUCGUAAAACUUAAAAAUAAAAUAAAUUUCUGUACCACAAAAAGUACCGCUACAAGCUACAGUGUUGAGAAAUAUGCACAGCACUUGAAAAUUUUGAGUGGUAAGCUUUGCGUGGCCACGAAUGCGAAAAUAGAAAUCAAGGCAAAUUUUUUUAACUAAAACUUUCUUUUUUGCUGAUUAACAAGAUGAGAAAGAAUGUUUGAAGUAAGUUUACAAAAAUGGCUGGACAUUGCUAGUAGUGAUAUCACACGAUAUCUGUUUAAGGUGCAGCGGCUUGGUGGUUAUACGUUUAAUCAAACCGCUGCCUUUGAAACUGCACAAUGAAAGAGAAACUUUCCAAUAUCAUCUAUGACAUCGAGAUGGAACAGUUGUGUGAUAAAGGUUUUGAUGUGCUAAUCCCAUCGCAUUUAACAAACGUUGAAGGACAAGACAUCGCUGGGUCAGUGUUUAACACCAUACAAACGGGCGAUAUCGAUAUACUUGUAUGACUGGAAUUGUACAAGCAUAUCGUGCGCGUGUGGAUGUUAUUGAAAAUGAAAAAAUGUUACAGAAAAAAAUUUAAAAAUAUUCUAUUUUGCACAAAUUUAAAAAUCAUCACGAAGAUCCGCUACAACUAAAAGAUUCGGUCGUUAUUUUGGCUGAGAUGGCAAAGGAUCGCGAUGGUUUUUGGAUGUGUGUACGAAACAAGAAAAUUAAGAAAAGUAUUACCGUAACUUUCAAGGAGCUCACAACUUCUCUAUUCGUACCUAACCAUUCCAACCCUGAAUUCUAAAAUUAAUCAACCUUUUAUGUUUUGACAAGGAAAGGUUGUCGUCAUUUGUUAAAUAUCUGAAACAUUUGAUAUUUGCUUUUGUUCUCAGUAGGCUUAUACAAUGUGCAGACCGCAACUUAAUCACACGAUUUCGGCUGCUGACUAGUUUAUCCCACUAAUCUUAAAAAUUUAUAAAGAUUUUGCCAAAAUGACAGUUCGAAAUCACUUCUUCGAAGUGAUUCGAAACUGAUCCACUCUAAAUCUCUCGUUGCGACUCUGAUUUUGCGCCAUCUACUUCUCAGGAGGAUGGAGUCAUGUGUAGAAGUGGAGGAUGGAGUCAUGUGUAGAAGUUGGAGGAUGGAGUCAAGUGUGGAAGUUCACGCAAGUGAGGAAAGUUCUCUGAUCGCCAUUCACUUGGGAGUGGCCAGAAACGAUUCUUUUAAACAUGGCUCAAGCAGCUCACUACUUCCGGUCUUUGACCAAGUAUCCUCUGGGUAGCCUCAGAACAUCCGUUCGAAAGCGAGCUAAUAUGAGAAGACGAAACAUCCCCUACAUAAGGUUGUGCGCUGGGUUUGGGACCCGCCACGUAAAAAAACACCCCCAAUGAAAGGAAGCAACAAGGCUCGGAUGAGAGACCCCCCUUUUGAUGACGACCAUGGCAAACAAGGAAAGGGACAAGGGACAAGGACAGAGACGAAUAGGUCCUUGUGACAUUUACUACAGUGGCCAUAUAAAGGAGCGGAUGACUAUCAUUCACUACGGUGAAUGAACGUCUAGCCACAAUCCGCAUCAAAGCGAUGUUCUUCAACAUAUCGCUGAUUUGCGCCCACGCCCCGACGGAAGAGAAGGACGAUGUGAUCAAAGAUGCCUUCUAUGAGCGCUUGGAGCGCCCUUAUGAGAGCUGCUCCCGCCACGAUGUCAAAAUCGUGCUUGGCGACUUUAACGCCAAGUUGGGCAAAGAAGGUAUCUUUGGCACUACGGUCGGUAAAUUCAGCCUCCACGACGAAACUUCCCCAAAUGGGUUGAGGCUGAUUGACUUCGCCGGGGCCCGAAAUAUGGUUGUCUGUGGUACUAGUUUCCAGCACAAGAAGAUACAUCAAGCUACCUGGCUGUCUCCGGAUCGAAAAGCCACCAACCAGAUCGAUCAUGUUGUGAUAGACGGAAGACACGUCUCCAGUGUUCUUGACGUGCGUACGCUCCGAGGUCCUAACAUCGACUCGGACCACUUUCUUGUUGCAGCCAAGAUUCGCACCCGCCUCUGUGCAGCAAAAAACGCACGUCAAAAAACACAAGGAAGGUUCGACGUCGAGAAGCUGCAAUCACAAAAGACAGCCGAACGAUUUGCUACUCGGCUUGCGGGAUGGGAUAGAUAUUGAGAGUUGAAGAGGGAAGCGAGACGCAUUUGCAGACAGAAAAGAAAGAGGUUGAAAUGCGUGAGUAUGAUGAGCUUGAUAAGCUGGCCGACAGGGUUAAUGCUCUAAAAUUCUAUGAAAAAAUGCGGCGCCUUACAGAAGGUUUCAAAACCGGAGCAUACUCUUGUAUGACCCCCAAAGGUGAUCUAGUCACCGAUGCCCAGAGCAUACUUAAAUUAUGGAGGGAACACUUCUCCAGCCUGCUGAAUGGCAGUGAA
Molecule: long non-coding RNA, 2400 nt
Organism: Bactrocera neohumeralis
Lineage: Eukaryota; Metazoa; Arthropoda; Insecta; Diptera; Tephritidae
Exons: 3
Source: RefSeq, a predicted model, not a curated record